UCUCCCUAGGUCUAGUGGUAUGACGCAUCCUUCACACCACAACAGUGCAGAACGGAUGAGGCCCCGGGUUCGAGACCCGGUGGGAGUA
Teratosphaeria nubilosa is the source of this 88-nucleotide non-coding RNA. The record is from the annotation of a GenBank genome assembly. NCBI's taxonomy places the organism in Eukaryota, Fungi, Ascomycota, Dothideomycetes, Mycosphaerellales, Teratosphaeriaceae.